This 460-nucleotide ribosomal RNA is filed under the name uncultured bacterium. RNAcentral describes it as "partial 16S ribosomal RNA". It matches the Rfam family "Bacterial small subunit ribosomal RNA", at positions 338 to 795 of the family's 1533-position model. The record is from RNAcentral.
CCUACGGGAGGCAGCAGUGAGGAAUAUUGGUCAAUGGGCGGAAGCCUGAACCAGCCAAGUCGCGUGAGGGAAGACGGUCCUAUGGAUUGUAAACCUCUUUAGGCGGGGAGCAAUGCCGGGCACGUGUGCCCGGAGGGAGAGUACCCGCAGAAUAAGCGUCGGCUAAAUCCGGGCCAGCAGCCGCGGUAAUACGGAGGAUGCGAGCGUUAUCCGGAUUUAUUGGGUGUAAAGGGUGCUUAGGCGGAUUUUUAAGUCAGCGGUAAAAUGUCCGGGCUCAACCCGGGCCGGCCGUUGAGACUGGGGAUCUUGAGUGGGCGAGGAGUAUGCGGAAUGCGUGGUGUAGCGGUGAAAUGCAUAGAUAUCGCGCAGAACUCCGAUUGCGAAGGCAGCAUACUGGCGCCCGACUGACGCUGAGGCACGAAAGCGAGGGGAGCGAACAGGAUUAGAUACCCGGGUAGUC